This 797-nucleotide long non-coding RNA is filed under the name Brassica napus (rape). RNAcentral describes it as "long non-coding RNA (BNAP_LNC001464)". The record is from RNAcentral. Lineage: Eukaryota; Viridiplantae; Streptophyta; Magnoliopsida; Brassicales; Brassicaceae.
CAGUAAAAAAAAGAGUCAUUCACGUAUAUUUUUAUUGACCACAAACAUAUCCACUGAGUGUUCUAUUCUAUAUCACCAAAAUAGUAUAAAAUUAUAACUUUAUCAACAACCUUUAAAUAUAAACAUAUUCCAAACUCAAUCCUUAGAUACUAAACCUUAUUCCAAUCCCGACCAACCUCUAUACUAAAUCCUAAACUCUGGUCAGUAAACCCUAAACCAAAUCUAAACCAUAAACCUAAAUAUAAAGCAUAACUCCAAAUAUAAGCACAAAAUCCAAAUAGAAUUGAACAAAAUAAAUAACAUAAUACAUAUUUGUGAAAUUAUAAAAUAUCUAUAAUUGCAUGGAAGAUCCCACCCAACUUCUAUACUAAACCCUAAACUCUAAUCAGUAAACCCUAAACCAAAAUCUAAACCAUAAACCCAAAUAUAAACCAUAACUGCAAAUAUAAGCACAAAAUCCAAAUAGAAUUGAACAAAAUAAAUAACAUAGUACAUAUUUGUGAAAUUAUAAAAUAUCUAUAAUUGUAUAGAAGAAGUUAUUGUUGUGACCCCAACCAUACUCCUUCACUUUCUUAAUACUAAAUCCUAAACUUUAAUCACUAAACCUUUACCCAAAUAUAAAUCCUAAACCCAAAUAUAAACCCUAAACUCAAAUAAAAUGGAACAAGAUAAAUAACAUAAUACAUAUUGGUGAAAUUAUGAAAUAUCUAUGAUUGCAUGGAAGAAGUUAAUGCUAACCCUAACCAUACUCCCACCUUCUAAAUACUAAACCUUAACUCUAAUUACUAAACCCAAAC